RNAcentral lists this ribosomal RNA (250 nucleotides) under uncultured Actinomycetales bacterium. RNAcentral describes it as "partial 16S ribosomal RNA". It matches the Rfam family "Bacterial small subunit ribosomal RNA", at positions 83 to 334 of the family's 1533-position model. Lineage: Bacteria; Bacillati; Actinomycetota; Actinomycetes; Actinomycetales. The record is from RNAcentral.
UGGGGUGCUCGAGUGGCGAACGGGUGAGUAACACGUGAGUAACCUGCCCUUGACUUUGGGAUAACUUCAGGAAACUGGGGCUAAUACCGGAUAGGGGCUACUGCUGCAUGGUGGGGGUUGGAAAGUUUCGGCGGUUGGGGAUGGACUCGCGGCUUAUCAGCUUGUUGGUGGGGUAGUGGCUUACCAAGGCUUUGACGGGUAGCCGGCCUGAGAGGGUGACCGGCCACAUUGGGACUGAGAUACGGCCCAG